This is a long non-coding RNA of Octopus sinensis (East Asian common octopus), 143 nucleotides long. RefSeq lists it as uncharacterized. Lineage: Eukaryota; Metazoa; Mollusca; Cephalopoda; Octopoda; Octopodidae. The transcript is spliced from 3 exons. The record is from RefSeq and is a predicted model, not a curated record.
AUAUAUACAUAUAUGUGUGUAUGUAUGUAUGUAUAUAGUUUAUAGACGAGAGACAGAUAUUCUCCAUAUAGAAUACACUUUGUAGUGCUCAAGAGAUUUAAACUUAAGCAGGUAGAGGAGUAAAUGUAAGGACAAGCAAGAUA